CUACGGGCUGCAGCAGUGAGGAAUAUUGCACAAUGGGGGGAACCCUGAUGCAGCAACGCCGCGUGGAGGAUGACGCAUUUCGGUGUGUAAACUCCUUUUAUAUGUCAAGAAAAUGACGGUAGCAUAUGAAUAAGCACCGGCUAACUCCGUGCCAGCAGCCGCGGUAAUACGGAGGGUGCAAGCGUUACUCGGAAUCACUGGGCGUAAAGGACGCGUAGGCGGGUUGGCAAGUCAGGUGUGAAAUCCUACAGCUUAACUGUAGAACUGCACUUGAAACUUCUAAUCUAGAGUAUGGGAGGGGGAGAUGGAAUUAGUGGUGUAGGGGUAAAAUCCGUAGAUAUCACUAGGAAUACCUAAAGCGAAGGCGAUCUCCUGGAACACUACUGACGCUAAGGCGCGAAAGCGUGGGGAGCAAACAGGAUUAGAUACCCCUGUAGUC
This 439-nucleotide ribosomal RNA is filed under the name uncultured bacterium. RNAcentral's name for it is "partial 16S ribosomal RNA". It matches the Rfam family "Bacterial small subunit ribosomal RNA", at positions 339 to 795 of the family's 1533-position model. The record is from RNAcentral.